This is a non-coding RNA of Aegilops tauschii subsp. strangulata, 1523 nucleotides long. Lineage: Eukaryota; Viridiplantae; Streptophyta; Magnoliopsida; Poales; Poaceae. The record is from RefSeq and is a predicted model, not a curated record.
UUUUCUUUUCCAAAAUUAGGUUCCUGAAAAAAUAUUCACGUUUCUAGUAAAUUUCAGAAAAUUUAAAAUGUUCUUUAAAAUAUAAACAUGUUACAACAGUUUAAAAAAAUCAUGUUUAGAAUUCAAAAAUAAAUUAGGAAUUUUUAAAUGUAUUCAACUUCUUAUAAAAGACAUGUUCAUGUUAUAUUUCAAAACAAAAGAUGAACUAAAUAUAAAAGUAAAACAAGAAAACCAUACAAAAAAGAAAACAAAUUGUUAAAGGUUGCUUCGCUCCACUCGGUAUAGAAAAACAACGACACGGCUAAUUGGGUCGAGGCCCAUAUAUGGCGCCCUGUGUCAUCACCCUCCUAUAUGAAGCAAUGAGUGUCAUGCAAUUUUCUAGUUGGCGCCUAUAGCAUUGGCAAAUCCUAUCUCCUAGCCGCCACUUGUCUACGUGCGCUACAUGCCUUAUAUGCAUGGUGGAAGAUGAAGGGUCUUUCCAUACAUUGGUAACAUGCAGCCAUGAAGGAGGUUAUGAGGGGAGAUGAGUUUAGUGUGGUUGUUGCCGUCACGAGAGCUGUUAAAAAAACCCAAAGAGGACUGGUUGCUACAGCCUACAGGUAAAUAUGGUGAUCAUGUUAGUUUAGAGGAUUUGGCAAGUGCAAACGCACACAACUCAUGGCGAGGAAGGUGUGCCGGUUGAAACUUCUGCUAACUUCCUACAAAGCUACUUUGAUUCCAUCUGUGCUUAAAGAAGAUUCUCAAUAAAAGAAGUAAUCAAGGUCAAGAUACCAUUGCAAUGCUCAUGGGACGUUGGAAAAUAAAAGAAGACCAAAGCCGCCCAUAGUUGGUCAGCUCCGCCGGCUAACAUGGUCGCUCUCUCUGUUAAACGGUACAUUUCUAGAAGUUGAUAGCUUGGCAGCGACUGGAAUGGUGCUUCAGAAGCAGAAUGGCUCAGUGGUUUUUCACUGCAUAUUGGUAUCUAUUCAAUUGCAACGAAGCUAUCGAAGCAGAGAUACAUGUGAUAAUGAUUGGUGUGCCGAUGGCCAUACAACAUUUUGACGAGCCUAUCAUCCUGCGGUUGGAAUCUGCGAUGGCCCUAUCCAUUCUUUUCGGUAAUAGCUUGGAUCGUUUCGCUUAUGGAUAAUAUGAGAUUAAGUCUUUAAUAGUGAGAUCAAAAUAGCGUUGCAGAUUACCUAGUAAGGUAUAGUCGUACUGAAUGCGCCAUGUACUGUGGUUGCAUCGAGGACCCCAUGUAUAGAGGGAAUCUUGCCUUUGGAUUGUAACCCUAUUACUAUAGAGUAGAACUCCUACUGAACUCGUAAAUAAAAGCAUUGGCAAAUACUAUUUGACCCAUUUUGCAUCAAAUAGUCAGUCUUUUGCAUAGAAAAAAAAAUGAAGAGAGCCCUCAAAUGAGCUAGGUUACAUACUAAACAUUCAGGUUUUCCAAACCGUUUUUGUAUGGUUUUUUAUAGGUUUUGUGUAUCUUCUACGAGGUUCCGGUCCAUUUUUAUUUAUUUCUUUACAUAUUUUUAAAGAUAUUU